This 25-nucleotide transfer RNA is filed under the name Crepidomanes humile. Its description in RNAcentral is "partial tRNA-His". Lineage: Eukaryota; Viridiplantae; Streptophyta; Polypodiopsida; Hymenophyllales; Hymenophyllaceae. The record is from RNAcentral.
GGCGGACGUAGCCAGUGGAUUAAGG